RNAcentral lists this ribosomal RNA (465 nucleotides) under uncultured bacterium. RNAcentral's name for it is "partial 16S ribosomal RNA". It matches the Rfam family "Bacterial small subunit ribosomal RNA", at positions 28 to 507 of the family's 1533-position model. The record is from RNAcentral.
GACGAACGCUGGCGGCGUGCUUAACACAUGCAAGUCGAACGGAAAGGCCCCUUUGGGGGUACUCGAGUGGCGAACGGGUGAGUAACACGUGAGUAACCUGCCCUUGACUUCGGGAUAACUUCAGGAAACUGGGGCUAAUACCGGAUAGGAAUCCUUGCUGCAUGGUGGGGGUUGGAAAGCUUCGGCGGUUUUGGAUGGACUCGCGGCUUAUCAGCUUGUUGGUGGGGUAGUGGCUUACCAAGGCUUUGACGGGUAGCCGGCCUGAGAGGGCGACCGGCCACAUUGGGACUGAGAUACGGCCCAGACUCCUACGGGAGGCAGCAGUGGGGAAUAUUGCACAAUGGGCGGAAGCCUGAUGCAGCAACGCCGCGUGCGGGAUGACGGCCUUCGGGUUGUGAACCGCUUUCAGCAGGGGCGAAGCUUGUGGUGACGGUACCUGCAGAAGAAGCACCGGCUAACUACGUG